UGGAGAAGAGCAAGACUUUUGAUCUAACAAGGAGCAAUACUGAAUGCUGCAUUUUUUCAAAGCAGAUCUUGCAUAUUUGAUGCCUGUUCUAUAGACCAUCUUUCUCUUACAGUGAUGUUGAAGAUUGGCUGAAACAUCUGACAGAGAACAUAGGACACCAUCCACUGACAUUUGGUGGUGUGAGCCAACUAUGGCAGAAAGCUGGAGACAGCAGUCCCCGUGCAGCUGAUGGAUCGUCAGACUCACUGAUCUAUCUGCAUGUGAGCAGCAUGCACAGUCCUGGGCUGUCGCUCCCCGAUCUGCAGCACAGAUGGGCACACGGGGUUGGAAUGUUGGGUGCAACUUGACAGCGGAGUUCAUCCUCCUGAGCACCAGCAGAUGGGGCGCAGCGGCGGUGGCUUUGUCUGCCUCGGAGCUGCAGGUUGUCGCUGAGGAAGGGAACUUCCUCCUUAAAGCCAAGCUAAAUAAGGAGUUUCUGGGCGGAGUCAUCUUCUGAGCAGCCGAGAUAAAAGCUUCUACAGGAUUUACGG
RNAcentral lists this long non-coding RNA (530 nucleotides) under Pavo cristatus (Indian peafowl). RNAcentral describes it as "lncRNA (ENSPSTG00000009768.1)". The record is from RNAcentral. Lineage: Eukaryota; Metazoa; Chordata; Aves; Galliformes; Phasianidae.